This 468-nucleotide ribosomal RNA is filed under the name uncultured bacterium. Its description in RNAcentral is "partial 16S ribosomal RNA". It matches the Rfam family "Bacterial small subunit ribosomal RNA", at positions 28 to 507 of the family's 1533-position model. The record is from RNAcentral.
GACGAACGCUGGCGGCGUGCUUAACACAUGCAAGUCGAACGGAAAGACCCUGCUUUUGUGGGGUGCUCGAGUGGCGAACGGGUGAGUAACACGUGAGUAACCUGCCCUUGACUUUGGGAUAACUUCAGGAAACUGGGGCUAAUACCGGAUAGGAGCUCCUGCUGCAUGGUGGGGGUUGGAAAGUUUCGGCGGUUGGGGAUGGACCCGCGGCUUAUCAGCUUGUUGGUGGGGUAGUGGCUUACCAAGGCUUUGACGGGUAGCCGGCCUGAGAGGGUGACCGGCCACAUUGGGACUGAGAUACGGCCCAGACUCCUACGGGAGGCAGCAGUGGGGAAUAUUGCACAAUGGGCGGAAGCCUGAUGCAGCAACGCCGCGUGCGGGAUGACGGCCUUCGGGUUGUAAACCGCUUUCGCCUGUGACGAAGCGUGAGUGACGGUAAUGGGUAAAGAAGCACCGGCUAACUACGUG